RNAcentral lists this long non-coding RNA (290 nucleotides) under Medicago truncatula (barrel medic). RNAcentral's name for it is "long non-coding RNA (MTRU_LNC006820)". Lineage: Eukaryota; Viridiplantae; Streptophyta; Magnoliopsida; Fabales; Fabaceae. The record is from RNAcentral.
UCCUACUAUAGUAUAGUAUAAUAAAAUCGUACUCCGACAAAAUUUUAUCUUAUCCGUAUAAAGGUCAUUUUGUAAAUAAAAAAACUAAUUUUUUGUGGCAUAGAUAUAGGAAAACAGUUUAUUUUCAUCUCUUAUGUCAUAAACAAUUUUUUCUCCUCUCUUAUGACGCUGCUGUAGGAAAACAAUUUAUUCUAAUCUUUUUUAAUCUAUUAAUCUCAUUAAUUUACAUUUAUUAAAAAUACUACAUACAUAUUGAAGUUUUGAAAAUAGUCAUGAGUAUUCAAAAUUUU